RNAcentral lists this ribosomal RNA (384 nucleotides) under Micromonas sp. RNAcentral's name for it is "partial small subunit ribosomal RNA". It matches the Rfam family "Eukaryotic small subunit ribosomal RNA", at positions 582 to 975 of the family's 1831-position model. Lineage: Eukaryota; Viridiplantae; Chlorophyta; Mamiellophyceae; Mamiellales; Mamiellaceae. The record is from RNAcentral.
AUUCCAGCUCCAAUAGCGUAUAUUUAAGUUGUUGCAGUUAAAAAGCUCGUAGUUGGAUUUCGGUUAAGAGCGACCGGUCCGCCGUUUGGUGUGCACUGGUUGGUUUUAACUUCCUGUAGAGGACGUGCUCUGGGCUUAACGGUCUGGACUCGGAGUCUACGUGGUUACUUUGAAAAAAUUAGAGUGUUCAAAGCGGGCUUACGCUUGAAUAUUUCAGCAUGGAAUAACACUAUAGGACUCCUGUCCUAUUUCGUUGGUCUCGGGACGGGAGUAAUGAUUAAGAGGAACAGUUGGGGGCAUUCGUAUUUCAUUGUCAGAGGUGAAAUUCUUGGAUUUAUGAAAGACGAACUUCUGCGAAAGCAUUUGCCAAGGAUGUUUUCAUUA